Molecule: ribosomal RNA, 506 nt
Filed under: uncultured bacterium
Lineage: Bacteria
Description: partial 16S ribosomal RNA
Rfam family: Bacterial small subunit ribosomal RNA
Source: RNAcentral
AUUGAACGCUGGCGGCAUGCCUAACACAUGCAAGUCGAACGGCAGCACGGUCUAGCUUGCUAGAUGGGUGGCGAGUGGCGAACGGGUGAGUAACGCGUAGGAAUAUGCCUUGAAGUGGGGGACAACUUGGGGAAACUCAAGCUAAUACCGCAUAAUUUCUUAGGAAACAAGCUGGGGACCUUAGGGCCUGGCGCUUCAAGAUUAGCCUGCGUACGAUUAGCUAGUUGGUAGGGUAAGAGCCGACCAAGGCGACGAUCGUCAGCUGGUCUGAGAGGAUGGCCAGCCACACUGGAACUGAGACACGGUCCAGACUCCUACGGGAGGCAGCAGUGGGGAAUAUUGGACAAUGGGGGCAACCCUGAUCCAGCAAUGCCGCGUGUGUGAAGAAGGCCUGAGGGUUGUAAAGCACUUUCAGUGGGGAGGGGGAUUGCCAGGUUAAGAGCUAGGUAAUUGGACGUUACCCACAGAAGAAGCACCGGCUAACUCCGUGCCAGCCGCCGCCGUAA